RNAcentral lists this unclassified non-coding RNA (2162 nucleotides) under uncultured fungus. RNAcentral's name for it is "sequence contains 18S rRNA gene, ITS1, 5.8S rRNA gene, ITS2, 28S rRNA gene". The stretch from base 1256 to 2162 matches the Rfam family "Eukaryotic large subunit ribosomal RNA", at positions 1 to 961 of the family's 3401-position model. The record is from RNAcentral. Lineage: Eukaryota; Fungi.
AGAUGGAUCAUUUAUAUUUAUGUCAUCAUUUAGUGGUCGAUAUGGCUGAGUCAUGUGAACUAUAUGAAUUGAGAGGAAUUGGUUGGUUGCACGAAUUUUGUGAAUUGAGGGAAAUUGGUUAACAUUCAUAAUGAGAUUAUAUUAUUAUUCUACUGAUGAGUUCGAGAGUAUUUUCUGGCUAAGAGGUUCACGCUUUCACGGUUUUCUUAGUUUCAACCUGUUCCAUUGUUUUAUUAUUCCUUUGAGUGGGGCUAGCCCCGUGCCACUUAGUAUAGAUGGGUAUUUCUACCCUCACAGACAUGUAAAACACAUGUUUUCCACACAAUGCUCCCUAGAGCUCUCUAUAUUUACUAGUGCCCCCUGAGUCUCGAACCUACGACCAAUGGCUUGUGAGACCAUAGUCAUAACCACUAGACUAAGUGACCACUAGUUUACCUUACGAUACCAGUUUUACUUGCUAAGAGUUUUUAAGCUUGAAAAACCUAUCAAACUCCCCCAAACUCUUAGCAAGGGGAACGGUUUACUCCUGUCAACAAGAAUUUUUCAAUUUUUGUUGGAAAACUUGGCAAAAACGCGGGUAAUUUGCAUUACCUUUACUCCUCUCUAGCCCAAUACUCCCGAGUCAUAGCACCAAUGAUGAGUUCGAGAGUAUUUUCUGGCUAAGAGGUUCACGCUUUCACGGUUUUCUUAGUUUCAACCUGUUCCAUUGUUUUAUUAUUCCUUUGAGUGGGGCUAGCCCCGUGCCACUUAGUAUAGAUGGGUAUUUCUACCCUCACAGACAUGUAAAACACAUGUUUUCCACACAAUGCUCCCUAGAGCUCUCUAUAUUUACUAGUGCCCCCUGAGUCUCGAACCUACGACCAAUGGCUUGUGAGACCAUAGUCAUAACCACUAGACUAAGUGACCACUAGUUUACCUUACGAUACCAGUUUUACUUGCUAAGAGUUUUUAAGCUUGAAAAACCUAUCAUCUACGACCUUCAGCGAUGGAUGUCUCGGAUCUCGUGACGAUGAAGAACGCAGCUAGUUGCGAUAUGCAAUGUGACUUGCAAACUUCUGAGAAUCAUUAGAUUUUUAAACGCAAAAGGUGCUCCUAGGUCACUGCUUAGGAGCAUGUUCGCUUCAGUGCUUUAUAUCUUUGUUGUCUUGCUUAGUAGACAACGUGUGUAGAUGCUGGUAAGACAGCUUCUGUAAUUUAGUGAUUAAAAGCUACUUUGGUAUUUCCUGAAGGCGCGUGAUCGGAUUGAUUUACAAAUAAGCCUGAAUUUGAGCAAGGUUACCCGCUGAAUUUAAGCAUAUUAUUAAGCGGUGGAAGAGAAACUAACUAGGAUUCCCUUAGUAACGGCGAGUGAACAGGGAAAAGCUCAAACUGAAAAUCAAUAGUAUACUAUUGAAUUGUAGUUUCGCGAAGUGCAACCUGUGUUUAUUCUAGGUUAAGUCUCUUGGAAAAGGGUACCAAAGAGGGUGAAAGUCCCGUCUAUACCUAGAGUCGUUCACGUUCGGUGCAUUUUCAAAGAGUCGCGUUCCUUGAGAUUGGAGCGCUAACUGGGUGAUAAAUUUCAUCUAAAGCUAAAUACUGACGAGAUUCCGAUAGCAUACAAGUACCGUGAGGGAAAGAUGAAAAGGACUUUGGGAAGAGAGUUAAAAGGAACUGAAAUUGCUGAAGGGUAAGCGGAGGGUUUUGGCUGUUUAGUGGAGCUUGUAUUGAGCUCCGCGGUAACACUGGAAGGUGAUUGUGCUUACCGAGUAAAGCAUUGAUGGAGUCCCUACAGGGUUGACUUCUUUGCUAUUUUCGGGUCGAGCGAUCAUUUAGCUACUGUUAUACAUUAGUGGUAGCAGUUUAGCCUCCAGCAAUGUCGAUUCUCUCCGUCCCGUCUUGAAACACGGACCAAGGAGUCUAACUUAUAUGCGAGUACAAAGGUGUAAAACCUACGUGCGGAAUGAAAGUAAUAAUCAGGAAGGGUAACCUGCACUGAUACCCGGUUAUUAAGCUGAGGUUGAGCAUAUAUGUUAGGACCCGAAAGAUGGUGAACUAUGCCUGAGUAGGGUGAAGCCAGAGGAAACUCUGGUGGAAGCUCGUAGCGAUACUGACGUGCAAAUCGUUCGUCAAACUUGGGUAUAGGGGCGAAAGACUAAUCGAACCAUCUAGUAGCUGGUUCCCUC